CACGUAGUUAGCCGUGGCUUUCUGAUUAGGUACCGUCAAGACGUGCACAGUUACUUACACAUUUGUUCUUCCCUAAUAACAGAGUUUUACGAUCCGAAGACCUUCAUCACUCACGCGGCGUUGCUCCGUCAGGCUUUCGCCCAUUGCGGAAGAUUCCCUACUGCUGCCUCCCGUAGGAGCCUGGACCGUGUCUCAGUUCCAGUGUGGCCGAUCACCCUCUCAGGUCGGCUACGUAUCGUUGCCUUGGUAAGCCAUUACCCCACCAACUAGCUAAUACGGCGCGGGUCCAUCUAUAAGUGAUAGUAAAACCAUCUUUCACUUUAGAACCAUGCGGUUCUAAAUAUUAUCCGGCAUUAGCCCCGGUUUCCCGGAGUUAUUCCCAGUCUUAUAGGUUACGGUUACCCACGUUGUUACUCCACCCGGUUCCGACCGGCCUAAACGUCAAAAGGACGACAACGCUCCUUAUCCUGUUCGCUCGACUUGCAUGUAUUACGGCACGCCGCCAGCGUUCAUCCUGACGCCAGGACUCGAAACU
Molecule: ribosomal RNA, 535 nt
Filed under: uncultured Staphylococcus sp.
Lineage: Bacteria; Bacillati; Bacillota; Bacilli; Caryophanales; Staphylococcaceae
Description: partial 16S ribosomal RNA
Source: RNAcentral